AGAAGACAGAGGCAGGCCUGAUGCUGGGGCCCAGGGUUCUUCCCACAGCUGACUUUGGCCUGAGGGCCCCCCACUGCCUUGUGAAAAUUCCGUUAGAUACAACAGCAGCCUAGAUGUUUCCACCACCAUCCUCUCAAUUUUCCAGGCAAAAGUACUGCGUUAUCAAACUGUCAACAGCAGGCAAAAUAACAAUGCGAUGAUGAUCACAGCUGAGAAUUACUGCACACCUGACCAGCACCAGCUCGCCUGGAUUCCUGCAUUCAUUUCUUUAGCCCUCAUCACUGCUAGGAGGCUGGACUUGGAGUCCUGGCUUUUGUCCCCAGAUUCUCUGGAGAGUCCCAGAGAGGACCAUUGCCUGCCAGCCCAGAGCUCCUGGAUGAGUGCCCUCAGAGGCUGCUGCCCAGGGGAGGCACCCAUGGAGCCACCUGCAGCAGGCCGGGACAGACGGGGAACCUGAGUGAGUGACAAGGUCAGCUGGUUUUGGAAGCUCCCUCCGCCCAGAUACAAAGCUGAGAGCUUCACUGAACAUCAUUAAUGUUCCCAGAGGCAGUGCCUGGCAGGGUCUGCUCACUGGAUUUCACGCCUGAGGAAACUGAGGCACCGGGACUUUGUUCAGCUGCUACAUCUGGGCUCUGAUUCGAACUCUGGCCCCGGCUUCCCUGAAGCUACCCGUCACUGCCACAACUUUCCAGCAGGUACCAGAGCCUAACAGGGUUCUUGCCUCUAACAGGCCUUCAGGUGGGAAGAUCGCCACCAGCCAUCACUCCUGUCAUCCGAGUCUCUUCUUCCAGACAAACACCCUCUGUUCCAUCCCUUCUCUGAGGAGAUGGCUGGGACUCCACAUCCCCUGAGUGUGCCAGGAAUUUCCACACUCACUGUCUCGCCAAACUCACAGGCCACAUGCAGACUGCAGACCUAGUUUCUGCCCCAAGGGACACAGGCCGAGCUGGCCCCUGCCGUCCCUCCUGGGCGGCGAGGCUGAGGGCAGGGGCAAGGGAGUGGGAAAUUUCACGUUUCACACAUUUCUGCAUCGACUGAAGCUUUUUUCUGGCUUGUUUUACAACUGUGUAUCUUUUGUAAACUAAGACAGAAAAAUAUUGGCUUUAAAAGUCGUCUAGUGAUUUUAAUGUUAUUUUUAAUUAUUUUAUUCAUUUACUUAUUUACUGUUGUGGUACUAGGAUUGAAUCUAGGGCCUCUGCACUGAGCUGUAUCCCCAGCCCCGUUUUAUUUGUACUGUUUAUUUUGAGACAGGGUCUCGCUAAAUCACGAAGUUCCCCAGGCUGGCCUCAGACUUGCAGUCCUCCUGCCUCAGCCUCCCAGAGUGCUCGGAUUACAGACGUGCACCACCAUGCCUGGCUAAAAGUGCUGUUUAAGUAUUUUUACAACACAAAGUUAGAAUCUGCAGGAAAGCAGGCAGGUAUGCAGCUAAAACUUUCUUCUGAAUGUAAGGAUCAAAUUAAAAUUUUACUCACUCUUUCUCCCUAAAAGGCCACUAUGAAAAAUUGAAAUGCGUGGUUCCCAGCUUCUGCUGCGGCCUGCUGGCAGCCAGUUUUCCACAGGUGUGAUGGACACAGUUCAGUGGCCUCUUAGCACUGUCCUUGGUGAGGGGCACCGUCCCAGUUUGCCAGGUACAUCCAGGCUGUGGGCUGCUGGCCCAGUCCCCCCGCGGUUUACGGAGUUCACCAGAGUGAUCCACAUUUUCUGCCUCCACUGCUGCGGCCGGUGGCAUCACCUUCCUGUGGCGACAGAACACCGAGGGCCCUGCAGAGCAGGACAGGAGUCGCCGGGUUCUUACCACUGAGACUAACCCGGGCUCUGUCUCACCCAAGGUCGUGUCCCGGCACCAGAAUUCGAAGUCGGGCCUCCUUCCCAAACCUCUGCGGGAAGCCACUCGGAAAGGCCUGCCAAAAUGAAAAUGACUCGUGUUGCUCUCUGAGAAAGCAGUUUCUCCUGCAGGAAUGUAUUGCCCCAAUGCACCCAUGUAUCAAAGUGAUCUACGUCUAUGGUUAUUCAUUCUAGCAUUGUUUGCAUUAGGAAAGACUGGAAAUAAUGUAAGAAUCCUUCAAUAAGCAAUAUCCAGGUAAAUUAGGGCACGUGAAUUGGAGUCUAUGUGGCUUUCACAAGAAGGCAGCUGACGGUUAGGCCUGAUGGGGGUGAGCGCUGAGCUGGGGCAUUAGGUAUUAGAGGAGGGAAAUGGUCUGGAGAGGAUGCGUAGUUCGUGGUGUAUGGGGGGGCACUGGUAAAGACUCAUACUCAGAAUGUGCUCUACAGCCUUGGACUCACUCCAGAAGGUGACACCCAGGACAGCAGUGGCCAUGGUCAACAUGUACUCCUACCCCUUUCGUGUCUUCCUGAUGUUGUGCACUGCGCACAUAUUGCCUAUUGGAAUUUUGAAAAGGAGGAAGGGAAAGUCUUCAUCCACAAGACUUGGUCCACAUCCCCCUGGGGCUGAACAGAUGUGCUGCCCAAGAUUGGAACAGAGGUCUCGUCUUCUCUUGCCCACGCCGGGCUCUGUUCUGUGAGACCUUAGGCAGCCUCGGAAUCAGAGUCGGGGACAGCAUAAGUGGUGCCACUUUGGAAGGAAAUCUCGGGUCGCUCUGCCAGCCCCAGGUCUUCAGCCGACUUUCCCAGGCACACCCUCAGUCUCACGGUCCUAUGAGGUGCUUGGCUACCAGGGCAGUGAUGCAAGCAAAAAGGGUCCAGAGAGAGGUGACCAGAGC
Long non-coding RNA from Heterocephalus glaber (naked mole-rat), 2720 nucleotides. Lineage: Eukaryota; Metazoa; Chordata; Mammalia; Rodentia; Bathyergidae. The record is from Ensembl.